Molecule: ribosomal RNA, 228 nt
Filed under: uncultured bacterium
Lineage: Bacteria
Description: partial 16S ribosomal RNA
Rfam family: Bacterial small subunit ribosomal RNA
Source: RNAcentral
CGGGUGAGUAAUGUCUGGGAAACUGCCUGAUGGAGGGGGAUAACUGCUGGAAACGGUAGCUAAUACCGCAUAACGUCGCAAGACCAAGGAGGGGGACCUUCGGGCCUCUUGCCAUCGGAUGUGCCCAGAUGGGAUUAGCUAGUAGGUGGGGUAACGGCUCACCUAGGCGACGAUCCCUAGCUGGUCUGAGAGGAUGACCAGCCACACUGGAACUGAGACACGGUCCAG